This 442-nucleotide ribosomal RNA is filed under the name Flavobacterium aquaticum. Its description in RNAcentral is "bacterial SSU rRNA". It matches the Rfam family "Bacterial small subunit ribosomal RNA", at positions 338 to 775 of the family's 1533-position model. Lineage: Bacteria; Pseudomonadati; Bacteroidota; Flavobacteriia; Flavobacteriales; Flavobacteriaceae. The record is from RNAcentral.
CCUACGGGUGGCAGCAGUGAGGAAUAUUGGUCAAUGGUCGCAAGACUGAACCAGCCAUGCCGCGUGCAGGAAGACGGUCCUAUGGAUUGUAAACUGCUUUUAUACAGGAAGAAACCCUCCCACGUGUGGGAGCUUGACGGUACUGUAGGAAUAAGGAUCGGCUAACUCCGUGCCAGCAGCCGCGGUAAUACGGAGGAUCCAAGCGUUAUCCGGAAUCAUUGGGUUUAAAGGGUCCGUAGGCGGUCUUAUAAGUCAGUGGUGAAAGCCCAUCGCUCAACGAUGGAACUGCCAUUGAUACUGUAAGACUUGAAUGCUUAGGAAGUAACUAGAAUAUGUAGUGUAGCGGUGAAAUGCUUUAGAUAUUACAUGGAAUACCAAUUUGCGAAGGCAGGUUACUACUAAGUGAUUGACGCUGAUGGACGAAAGCGUGGGGAGCGAACAG